GCUAAUACCGCAUGAUCUCUUCGGAGCAAAGAGGGGGACCUUCGGGCCUCUCGCGUCAGGAUUAGCCCAGGUGAGAUUAGCUAGUUGGUGAGGUAAGAGCUCACCAAGGCGACGAUCUCUAGCUGGUCUGAGAGGAUGAUCAGCCACACUGGAACUGAGACACGGUCCAGACUCCUACGGGAGGCAGCAGUGGGGAAUAUUGCACAAUGGGGGAAACCCUGAUGCAGCCCUGCCGCGUGUGUGAAGAAGGCCUUCGGGUUGUAAAGCACUUUCAGUUGUGAGGAAGGCGUUAUCGUUAAUAGCGGUAGUGUUUGACGUUAGCAACAGAAGAAGCACCGGCUAACUCCGUGCCAGCAGCCGCGGUAAUACGGAGGGUGCGAGCGUUUAUUGGAAUUACUGGGCGUAAAGCGCAUGCAGGCGGCUUGUUAAGCCAGAUGUGAAAGCCCGGGGCUCAACCUUGGAAUAGCAUUUGGAA
RNAcentral lists this ribosomal RNA (475 nucleotides) under Photobacterium sp. RNAcentral describes it as "bacterial SSU rRNA". It matches the Rfam family "Bacterial small subunit ribosomal RNA", at positions 162 to 632 of the family's 1533-position model. Lineage: Bacteria; Pseudomonadati; Pseudomonadota; Gammaproteobacteria; Vibrionales; Vibrionaceae. The record is from RNAcentral.